RNAcentral lists this ribosomal RNA (253 nucleotides) under uncultured bacterium. RNAcentral describes it as "partial 16S ribosomal RNA". It matches the Rfam family "Bacterial small subunit ribosomal RNA", at positions 524 to 776 of the family's 1533-position model. The record is from RNAcentral.
CACGUAGGGCGCAAGCGUUGUCCGGAAUUAUUGGGCGUAAAGAGCUCGUAGGCGGUCUGUUGCGUCCGCUGUGAAAACUCGGGGCUUAACCCCGAGCCUGCAGUGGAUACGGGCAGACUAGAGGUAGGUAGGGGAGAAUGGAAUUCCCGGUGUAGCGGUGAAAUGCGCAGAUAUUGGGAAGAACACCAGUGGCGAAGGCGGUUCUCUGGGACGGUACUGACGCUGAGACGCGAAAGCGUGGGGAGCGAACAGG